This 381-nucleotide ribosomal RNA is filed under the name uncultured prokaryote. RNAcentral describes it as "partial 16S ribosomal RNA". The record is from RNAcentral.
CCCUACGGGGGCAGCGGAGGGGACAGCCGCGCAGGAAUACGACCAAUGCCGCCUUUCCCAGCCAGUCCACCGUGGAUAGAGGGACUAUGCCCCCAAAGUUGACCAACAGCUCAUCACCCGCUUUUUUCUGGCAGAAUAAGACUCAUCUCUUUGCCGGCGAUCCUGGUCAGCCUCUCCACAAGCUCUGACUGCUUUGACCCCAUCCUCUCCUCCAGCAUCAAAAGGUCCUUGCGGCUCUGCUCCAGCGCAGCCUCGAGCUUUAUCAGGGCUUUCUUAUCCUGAGAGAUGGUGUCUUUCAGUUGAAGCGCCUCUUUGCUGCUCUCCUUCAACUGACCCUCCAGGGAUUUGAUCUCCUCUGCCAGGCUGAAUUGGCGGGAGGGC